UGCGUAGGCGGAUUAAUAAGUCAGUGGUGAAAACCUGCAGCUUAACUGUAGAACUGCCAUUGAUACUGUUAGUCUUGAGUACGGUCAAGGUAGGCGGAAUGUGUAAUGUAGCGGUGAAAUGCUUAGAUAUUACACAGAACACUGAUUGCGAAGGCAGCUUACUGGACCAUUACUGACGCUGAGGCACGAAAGCGUGGGGAGCGAACAGGAUUAGAUACCCUGGUAGUCC
This 229-nucleotide ribosomal RNA is filed under the name uncultured bacterium. RNAcentral's name for it is "partial 16S ribosomal RNA". It matches the Rfam family "Bacterial small subunit ribosomal RNA", at positions 568 to 796 of the family's 1533-position model. The record is from RNAcentral.